This is a long non-coding RNA of Loxodonta africana (African savanna elephant), 10154 nucleotides long. RefSeq lists it as uncharacterized. The transcript has 3 exons. NCBI's taxonomy places the organism in Eukaryota, Metazoa, Chordata, Mammalia, Proboscidea, Elephantidae. The record is from RefSeq and is a predicted model, not a curated record.
GAUAACCCACUGCCAUCAAGUGGAUUCCGACUCAUAGCGACCCUAUAGGACAGAGUAGAACUGCCCCAUAGGGUUUCUAAGGCUGUAAAUCUUUACAGAAGCAGACUGGUUUGCAAGAUAAUGGGUGGUGGUUCAAGAUCCCAUGACACUACCCUAGGAAAAGCAUAUACUAUCAUGGAGUAGUUUUCUAGAAGCUGAUGGAACAGAGAAAUGUUUGGAAUUACUUGACACAGCAGACAUAAUAGAGACUCAUUUGGCUGUGUUCUUCUAGACCCAAAGAAAGGCAGAAUGUCGGGUGGUUUUGAGAACCGAGCAUAACACGAAGAGGAUGAAAUGGAAUCAGAUAUGCCUGGUUUCUAACAUACUUCUACUGGCACCUCUGAGAAGUCUCUGUCACAUUAGUGCCAUAUCACUCAUCUGGGGCCUUACUGAAGAGAGUGGAGAGUUCCUCAGUUUCCAUUCCUUCCAGCCACUUCAUCCUUGUCACUUUUACAAGUCCUUUACUCCUCCUAUCCUUAACGCAUCUCUACAGAUAGAAGCUGGAACAGCCUCAAAGCUCAGAGAGAGCUAUUGGAAUGGCAGGGUGCAUUCUGCUCAUUGUUGUUUCCUUCAGCUAUUAGUACCCAGUGGUAUAACGCUCUCUCAAGGUCACCCUGGCAGGUGACACUGGUGUCCUCCCAGAAUUGGAUCCCCCAAGGCUUCUGGGCUGAGUAGGACCUUUCUCUAGAAAGGACCCUUAUUGGGCCAUACUUGUCUCUCACAAACGCUUUGAAUUGCUUGAAAGGCUCAAUCCUGGUUGAUUACCCUUGGCAUUGCCAGUACUGAUUCUUGUACAACUUUCAGUAGCCUUGGAUGGGGCAAUGGAAAAUUUUCAUUCUGGGGUGCAUUCAUGGCUCCUUUAGAAAUUGCUGACAUCCCUCUGUGGGUAAUGUGAUGAGGUAAGACUUUGAUGGACCAUUCUAUAAAAAAAAAAAAAAAAAUUUUUUUUUUUUUUAUACGAGGAGCUAAAUUGCCACUCUUAGUAAACCCCCUUCUCUGCUGAUGGCAAGUGAGAAUUGAACCGUGCUGAGGUCUAGAGGCCUAGCUUAACUCCUAAACCAAAGUCAGCUCAAAAGCUUCCUCUCCAACCUCUGUCAACCAGCGAGGUGCUGCCACUCGAAGGGCUAUAAGGGACAACUCUUCUGUUCUUCUUCCUCUCAAGUCCUAUGAUCUUUUUCGCCAGCGAUGUUAGGAGAGAUUGGGUUUGGCAGUAGGACAGACGCAUUUCAACACAUGGGACACAGAUAAAGAGGAAAAAUAACCCACCCAAAAGCCCAAAUUGGCACCUCAGAAUGAGGCGUUCUCUCUCUCUGUCUCUCUGUCACAGGCUUCCUCAGAGGCUUACUUGACGUGCACACCUCCUGACAGACACUCUCUGCCACAUCUCCAGGGCUGCACGUUUGACUCUCGGUCAAUCCUGUUCUCAGAUUUUGCCAAGUGGCUCUCUAGCCACCAUUACAGUUUUCAGACUCUUUUCUCCUAUAUCUGUGGCCUCUCUUCUUGCCUGCCAGUAACAAGUACAGCCUGGACGCAGCUUUAAUCAGUUGAAAUCACAAGGGGAUAAGUCUUAAUAAAACGGACCUGUUGGGGACCUGGAGACGUGUUUUUGCUCCUUAGACCCUGACUUGGGAGUGCAGGGGACACAGUACUGGGCCCAGGCUUGCUUGUGAGCUCCUGCGAGACCACCUCUUUCCCUUGUUCCUUUGGGUGUUUGAAGCCUGUUGCCUACUGCUUUCCCAUUUUCCCUUUUAAAAAAUUCUCCAUUUUUUUUCACUUAGAGAAAAAAAUUAUUUAUACGAUUGAGAUCCACUAAUUAAAGCCAUUUUCUGGUAUUUGGUUACUGAAGCGUUUGAUGUCUCUCUGACAAGACCAUGAAAUGCACGGAGCGUCCACAGGGACAGAAUUUGCUGAACACGGCUCUUUGUAAAUGAGGGGACAUAGUGUCGCAGCAGCUCAUGAAUAUGAAACGCCCAUGAUACCACCUCAGUGGACUUGAGAACACAGAUGAAUCCUGUCAUGUGCUAAAUGAGACCAAUUUCUUUCACUUAACUUCAUCUUCAAUCGGACCUUCUUCCAUUUGCCUGUUUAAAAUUCCCCAUACGUGAUGCAGAAGGUAACAUUCAGUAAAACAAAGUUUUGCAGCUGCGGAGAAAAAUUAUAAUGAUCUCUGGUUUAAAGUUGCCAUCUCCUAAAAACAUGGACGUGAUUUCGUUUUGCUUGCCAGCUCUGCUAAUGUCUGUUGACUUGGGGCACAGAACCAGGCAGGGUUUGUCUGGCUGGGCUUCCUGGGGUGUCUUUAAGCAGCGUGCCCAGAUCCCCUUCCUGUAGACUGGUUAUUGAGCAUGGCUGGUGAAUGGUGGAUGCCAGCCCUUCACUGAGCAGAGCCUGGGCAUGCUCCAUCCGUAGUGGCCAGGGCACUGAGUGGGAGGAGGUUGUAUGUAACCCAGCAGGGUGGUUGCUGUUGAGAGCUCAGGUAAUGGAUGAAGUGAGUGAGAGGUAGUCGUCAGUAGCGCCCUGAGGAACCUGGCAAGGUAGACCAACUACUUGUGCCAUUUACUAAGGGGUCAGGGUGAGAGUGCUGGGACGUAGAACAGACUUUCUGUAGCUCUAGAGAAACCCUUCUUUUUUUCUGGGCACAGCAGGAAAUUCCAUUCAGAAAUCCACAACCAAGAAAAUCAGCAAAGAGAAGAACCUUCAGGGACACAGAGAAGAAGAAACUCCCUGCCUGAAUCAUCUUUGCUUGGGUGGGACCCAGAGGCCAGAUUGGGGUGCCUUCUUUGUUCUUCCUACAGAACUUAGAUUUACUCUCCAGGUGAAGAGCCUGAGAAAUGCUCAGAGUGUACUCAUUGCAAGCUUGGGUCUAAUCUAAGAAUUCACUGUUUAGUUAAAGGAAAACAAACAGCAGCUGGAUCUGAAUGCAGGCUCUCAUAAAGUGCCUCACAGAGGUUUAGGGGGAAGCUUCAUUGGAAGAGGCAGGUAGGCUUUUUACUGUCAGGAGACGGGCUGAAAAGGACCCCUUCUGGGGCUUAAGUGGAUAGUUAGCAUUUUAGUGUGCUUUUGUGAUGAUAUUUACUAUAAUGAAUACAUUUCAGGGAAAAUGGCAGCUUCUGAGAUCCUUGAAAUCAGUUGUAAUUGAGCCCACUGGUAUUCUCACGUGUUUCUGUUAUUUAUUUACAUUAUUUAUUUGAGCACCACUCGUUUAUUGCUGUGGUUUCAGCGGGUGGUUAGUUGGAUAAAUCUCUUGGGUGGCUCUGGUUUCAUCUGGUGAUUAGUUGGUUGGAUAGAUCUGUUGGGUGGCUCUGGUUUCAUCUGGUGGCUGGUUGGUUGGAUAGAUCUGUUAGGUGGCUCUGGUUUCAUCUGGUGGCUGGUUGGUUGGUUGCAUAGAUCUUUUGGGUGGCUCAGACUAGUGUUGCAGUAUCAUGAGCUUUUCACUUGGCAAUCUCUCUCUUUGAAAUAAUUCUUAGUGCUGUCACUGCAUUCGUGAUUCCUUGUUGGGGGCUCCUAGAAUGUGGAAUGAUACAGUGGGCACACUGGAGAUCCAAGUAACAAACACAGGGAGCUUAGUGAAGAGCAUUGUGACCCAGCUUCAGGACAGAAGCCAGACAGUCCAAAUUGGACCACACCUGAACGACCCUUUCUCUGUAAUGUAGUGCCCACUCAUCCAUUGUUUCUUGUAUGUGCAUCAGGAGGACUAAAAUUAGUCUUUUCCAGCAGGCUUUGCAGCUGCCAUGCAAGGCAGAGCUUUUGCUGUGGUAUCAUUCAACCCAGGAAUUAUCCAAGGUUUACUCCUGGCUGUCCUUGUACAAUGAAUCGUACUUAGAUAACUUUGCGACUGAGUAGCACUUAUCGUAAAAUUGGAAAACUAUAGAGAAAAUUGACAUGGCUCUUCCAUGAGUGCUUCUUUCAGAUAGGAAGGGUAUCUAUUGAUUCCAUUCUGCUCAGUUAACCUUCCUUGGAAAGACAGAAGUGACUGGGAUGUGGUCUUUGCCCUCAACUUGUUCAGUAUGUAGGGGGCAGACCUAGGACAAAUUUUACUUAUUAUUCCUACUGCAAGGCAGUGAGGUCAGCCCUGUGGCUAUGAAUAAAGUAUUAAGGAAGGAUAAAGUAGAAAGCUCUUAAUUCUGUCAGUUGGAUUCAUAGAUAAUUCAUAAAGUAUAAUUGGCAUGCCUUUUUCUUAUUCUGCUGAUUUAUUAUUAUUUUUUAUGUAUAGAAUCUCCUUUUGCAACUUUGCAAUCACAGGUUUCUUGAAGACAGGGGCUGUGCUCAGUCCAUCUUGGUUCUCCCCUAAUGUCCUCAGGAAGGAGUCCAGUGUAUAGCAGGUACCCAGUACAGGUUUUCUGGUUGGUGAUGCCUCUCAUCACCUGGCACCCUCUCUCCUGCCUCACCCAAUGCCACUGCCCCCUGGGCCCACCCACGUUGGCCCUUCUUUUGUCUCCCCAGUACUGCAAGUUAUUUCUCACCUCGUAGUGUUCUCUGCCUGGCUUACUCCUGCUUAAUAAUUCAGCUUCCAGAUGUGCUGUCCCUAAUUCAGAGAGACCUUCCCUAACUCCUUGCCCGUUCCCCAAAAUUCCAAAGUAGGUCCUCUCUGGACUGGUUUAAAUGCAUUAUGGAGCAUCCAUUCAACAGAAUGCUGGUGGUCACUUAAAAGAAUAGGAUAUAUCUGUAUAUUUAUAAAGAAAGAUAAAAGCAAAUUGCAGAACAACAUAUAUGUAAUAUGACCCCACUUGCAACCAUUUUUAAAAGGGCAUAUCUGCUGUGAUAUGCAUGAAUUCUCUUCAGUAAAUAUGGACAAGCAAUUUGUAACAGUGAUUACCUUUAGGGAGACAACUGGGCUCAUAUAAGGCAGGGAAGGAAAUUUAAUUUUUCUGUUAAACUUUUCUAUAGCGUUUAUAUAUUAAUUUUAUUUUUUUAAAAUAAAACAAUUAGGCCUCCUUGAUUUUUUGUUUUGUUUGUCAUAGAAUCCAGUUAGCUUCCUUCAUUGCUUUCGUUAGCUGCUGUUGAGUCAGCUCCGAUUCAGGGCAACCCCACGUACCACAGAACAAAACAUUGCCUGGUCCUGUGCCAUCUUCACAGACGUUAAUAAGUUCAGGCCCGUUGUUGCAGCCACUGUACAUUCUGAGUGUUUUCCAGUCUAGGGCCUUGCCUUCCACCACUAUGUUGGACAGUGUUCUGUUGUGAUCCGUAGUGUUUUCAUUGGCUAGUUUUUGGAAGUAGAUCACCAGGCCUUUUUUCCUAGUCUUAGUCUAGAAGCUCCACUAAAACCUGUUCACCAUGGGUGACCCUACUGAUAUUUGAAAUACUGGUGGCAUAGCUUCCAGCAUCAUAGCAACAUGCAAGCUACCCCAGUAUAUCUAUAAACAGGAUAUUUAUUUGUGCUUAUUAUCCCCCACUAGGCUGGUACUUCAUGAAGACAGGGACCGUGUCUGGUUUUUGUUUGUUUGUUUGUUUGUUUUUUCAAUAGUGCCAGGGUUGAGAAACAUUGCCCUAGACAAAUUGGCUUCUUCCAGAUUUCAGAGCCACCUAUGUGGGUUAAAUUAACAGUUGCUUGGUAUCUGUACCUCCCUUUAACUGCACCCUCAUCCUCACCACUAGGCUGAAAACUCCCUGUUUUGUUCAAUGUUGUAUCCACCUGGGCCUUACAAAAUAAGUGGCAGAUAGUAGCUACUUACUAAGUAUGAACUGAAUGGGUUAAUAGUAGACAACUUUUUUAAGGUUUUAGAGUAAGUGCAUGGGACUGCCAAGAGUCUCCAGGCAUUUAGUAAACUUUUUUUUUUUUUGUACUUUAGAUGAAUGUUUACAGAACAAACAAGCUUCUCAUUAAACAGUACACAUAUUGUUAUGUGACAUCGGUUACAAAUCCCGUGACAUGUCAACACUCUCUUCUCGAUCUUGGGUUCCCUGUUAACAGCUUCCCUGUCCCCUCUGCCUUCUAGUCCUUGCCUCUGGGCUGGUGUGCCCCUUUAGUCUCGUUUUGUUUUAUGGGUCUGUCUAACCUUUGGAUAAAGGGUGAACCUCAGGAGUGACUUCAUUACUGAGCUAAAAGGGUGUCCAGGGGCCAUACUCUCGGGGUUUCUUCAGUCCCUGUCAGGCCAGUAAGUCUGGUCUUUUUUUCUGAGUUAGAAUUUUGUUCCGUACUUUCUCCAGCUCUGUCCGGGACCCUUUAUUGUGAUCCUUGUCAGACCAGUCAGGGUUAGUAGUCAGGCACCAUCUAGUUGUGCUGGACUCAGUCUGUGGAGGCUGUGAGGACCAUGUGUGUUUUGUUUGCCCUUGUUACCCAGCACUGCCUAGCAUGGUACCAUCCACCUGGUGGGUGCCCGGUGUUCCUUGAAUGAAUGAAUGAAUGAACCAAUGAAUGAAUGUUAUCACUGGUUUCACCUCAUAAAAGCUGCUUCAUUCUCAUCUGAAAAAUGGUGGUAACUGGGCAGGGUGAAAUUAGAACAUGAAGGUAGAACCAUUUAGUGUCUGUAUAUGCUCCAUAUUAUAAUAGCUGUUGAAUGAACAAGAUAGUUAUUGAAUACUUAUUACCUAUGGAGCACCAUACUAAGUAUUUUCUAAGAUUAUUUCACUUAAUAUUUACAACCAUAUGAAAUAGGUGUAAUUACGAUCCCCGUUUUACAGAUGAAGAAACUGAGUCACAGGUUAAAGUCACAAUAAGCACAUGGUGGAGCCAGGAUUUGAAACUGGCUAUCCUGCCUCCGGAGCCCUGGUGGUGCAGUGGUUAAGUGCUCAGCUGCUAACGAAAAGGUCAGCAGUUUAAAUCUACCAGCCACUCCUUGGAAACCCUGUGGGGCAGUUCUACUCUGUCCUAUAGGGUUGCUAUGAGUUGGAAUCACCUUGAAGCCAACAGGUUUGCGUUUUUUUUUGAUUAUCCUGCCUCCAGGGCCUCUGCACCUGACCUCUGAGCAGGAGUCCUACCCACCACACUUUACUCUUCAUUGUUAUUGUUCUUAGCAGGAUAGAAGGAAGUGAGGAUAAAGUUAAUUUAAUUAUUGGGUUUUUUAAAAGAGUGAUAUCUUUUCAACAGUUCUGGAGCUGAGUCCUAUAUUCCUCUUAUUCCCUCUGUUAAAAUCUUGUGCUUUGAAAUGUUAUACGUUACAACCUGAAUCAGGAUGGGCCCCCUGUCCAGAGUUGCAGGUCAAGUAGCCAUCUCUGAUUGGAGGCCGGGCUGGCUCAUUCCAUGUAGGGGCCCUAGUGGUGCAGUGGUUAAGUGCUGGGCUGCGAACAGAAAGUUCAGUGGUUCAAACCCACCAGCCGCUCUGCAGGAGAAAGAUAUAAAGAUUACAGCCUUGGAAAUUCUAUGGGGCAGUUCUCUGUCGUAUAGGGUCACUAUCAGUUGGAAUCGACUUGAUGGUUAACUAACGGGUUAAUUUUGGGAAGAUGUGAAUUUCUCAAGUACCUUUACUUUUUUCUAGGUUUGCUUAUGGUGUAUACAUGUUUGUGUUUGUGUGUGCAUGAGAGGGGUGGGGACUGGGUAAGGGAGAGUGGGACACAGAGAGAGAGAGAAAAUUCCCAGGAACCUAUUAUGUACACAUAAGCAAGCACUUGUCUGUGAUUGUAAAUCAGAAACUGUAAAAUUGCAAAGUACUUUGAAGUUUGCCCAAAACCAGCUCCACGGCCACCUGUUCCACUGGGGGCUGGGAGUUGGAUGGCCUGGCUCUGCUGAGAUGGCUCAAGCUGUCACUGCACCGGAAUGUUCCAGCUUGCCUCGGCCUGGCUGUCAUCGUUGGCUCUGUCCCACUCAGGCGGUUCACUGGGUUCUGCCGGGCACCAGGCUUCCAAUUAGAGAGAAGUCCCACUGUGUGGCCAGCCCCACCAGUGCCAUUCUGAGCAGCCCUUUUGCCAAGGCCCAAGCUGACCUCUGAUCUGUCACAGAUGGGCCAGCCCCAAACUCUUUUGUGCACAUUUGGAGGCGGGGGGUGGGAGUGAAGAGGGAUACCCAUGGGGAGUCAGAGUGGACAGUGGGCAGAAGUGCAAUUCCUCAGAGCUCUGGGAAGCUGGGCAGAGCUGACAGGACCCAAAUGCUAAAGUUGUGGAGGGAAAGGGGACUUUGGGAGACCCCGUUCUGAGCCCCAAGCUCAGUAUGGGGCAUUUUCUUACCAACUCCUGAAUAUUCAUCUCAGGCUGGACUCCAGGCCCGAAGAGAGCCAGGGGCAGCAAGCUGGCUCACUCCAAAACUGUCACACUCUGAUGGUGUGUGGCAUAGCCAGCUUCCUCCUGCCACUCUGCAGCCUGUGUGGUCUCAGCAGCCAGGGAGCCCACUCACCCUGCGCAGGGAGCGGAGCCAUACUGCCAACAACCCUGACAAUGGACUGUAGUAAUACCCCGGAGCAAGAGUGGAAAAGGAAGCCAAAUUCCUGUUGACAUAAGAAGUGGACUCUUAGAGAGCUCUAGCAGCCCAAGAUAUUUAAGUUUUGAAAAGCUUCUUUCUAGAUACAGGACUUCAUUAUUUUGAGAGGGAUACGUGGCUCUUUAUUUCCCCUGUUAGCAGUUUCUUUUUUUUUUUAUCCUUUUAUUUUACUCUUUUUAUCACUCUCUUGCUCUGCCUGUCUGUUUCUCUCUGCCUUAUUUUCUGUGUCCCUGUGUCUGUCUUGCAUAUUCUCUCUUUCCUUUUCCAGGUGCAACAUCUGUGACUCCACAGUUGGAAGUCGUAAUAAAGACACCAGGCUUGGAGCUGACAUUUAUAUACUCUGGCUUAACUCGACUAGAGCAAUCUUAAAGUCUAAAUAUGAAUAGCCUGAAAGUGGCAAGGGUCUUCCCAGAUGGUCUUGAAAUGAUUCUGCUCCUCUUUAAAAAUAAAAUUGAAUUCAGUCCCUGGAAGGAGGAACCGAGGGUUUCAUCACGACUUUUCCCUCACUGGGAUUUUCCCUUCUUUUGAUGUUUGCAGUUGGUUUGGGAAUUCCAGGACUGCCGCUUGGCCUUUUUUUCCUGCCACAUCUCUUUUUUGCUCCGAUUGGUUAACCCUAACACAACCCCUCAAACAGGUGGUGACGCUCAUUUGGAGAAGGUGUUUCUUUUGGGUGUGAGCCUGUUCAGUGAGAAGAUGGACAGUUUUUGUUUUUUUUUCAGCAAGUUACUGUAAUGAAGUGAUGUGCUGUCUCAGGUUCCCUAUUUGUAUGACUUUGGUAAACUCACAGAAGAAAUGGCCUUGUGUCUCCUCAUCUGUCUGUGAUCACAGCUGGAGAGUUCAGAGAAGGUGAUUCCCGUGAGACAGCAAGAGACGUGUGAUCAUCAGUGUGGAAUUGGCAGUGCUUAUUAUAUACCAAAACCCACUGCCGUCGAGUCCAUUCUGACUCAUAGCAACCCUCUAGGACAGAAUAGAACUGCUCCAUGGGGUUUCCCAGGAGCAGCUGGUGGGAACUGCCAGCCUUUUGGUUAGCAGCUGUAGCUCUUAACCACUGCGCCACCAGGGCCCAGUUUACUAUAUUACAACCUGGCAAAUGGAGCCCCUGCUCUUUGAUAAAAUGUUGGGGAGCCAGGUUAUUCACUAAGUGUAAAAUGUCUUUCAGAUACAGACGAAGGGAAUAUCCAGGCCUGCAAGGCUGCUCUCUUGAGCUAAUGCACACGUGGGCCUUGCUGAUAGGAGAUGGCACUCAUGGUGGCAUCAGCUUCGUGCUGCUACAUGUUCUCUGCUCCUCUGCCUCUGACCACGCCAGGCUCAUUCAUUGCUUCCUUUUCUUCCUUCCUCUCACAUGUGCUGUCUGGGGCUCUCUUCUCCUUUCUUUACAUUUCUACCUGAAUAUCCACUCCAGUGGUUUCGAACCUGGUGCCUGCAUUAGGGUCACUGAAGAAAUCUUAGGAAAAUACAGAUGACUGAGCCCCUCCUAAAAAAACGAAAACUGCUGUUGAGUUGACUCUGAUUCAUGGCGUCCCCACGUUUGUCAGAAUAGAACUGUGCUCCAGAGGAUUUUCAGUGGUUGAUCUUUCAGAAGCAGACUGCCAAACCUGUCUCCUGAGGUGCCUCUGGGUGGACUUGAACCUCCACCUGUGAGUUAGCAGCUGAGCAUGUUAAGCUUUGCACCAUCCAGGGACUCCAAAGUGCCACCUAGGAAGUUCUAAUUCAGCAAGUUCUGGGGUAAGGCCUGGGCUUCAGAAAACAUUGAGGGGCCACCUUUGAU